Molecule: ribosomal RNA, 480 nt
Filed under: uncultured bacterium
Lineage: Bacteria
Description: partial 16S ribosomal RNA
Rfam family: Bacterial small subunit ribosomal RNA
Source: RNAcentral
GAUGAACGCUAGCGGCAGGCCUAACACAUGCAAGUCGAGGGGGAGGUUACUUUCGGGUAACUGAGACCGGCGUACGGGUGCGUAACGCGUAUACAAUCUGCCUUUCACUGGGGGAUAGCCCGAAGAAAUUUGGAUUAAUACCCCAUAGUAUAGUAAUACGGCAUCGUGAUGCUAUUAAAGCUUAGGUGGUGAAAGAUGAGUAUGCGUUCUAUUAGCUAGUUGGAGAGGUAACGGCUCCCCAAGGCGAUGAUAGAUAGGGGUCCUGAGAGGGAUGUCCCCCACACUGGUACUGAGAUACGGACCAGACUCCUACGGGAGGCAGCAGUGAGGAAUAUUGGACAAUGGUCGGAAGACUGAUCCAGCCAUGCCGCGUGCAGGAUGAAGGUCUUAUGGAUUGUAAACUGCUUUUGUAAGGGAAGAAUAAGGGCUACGCGUAGUUUGAUGACGGUACCUUACGAAUAAGCAUCGGCUAACUCCGUG